CAUAACUAUAAACUUUGAUAAAAAUUUACAUCUUACAUCCGCCAGGGAACUACAAGCGUAAGCUUAAAACCCAAAGGACUUGGCGGUGCCUCAGACCCACCUAGAGGAGCCUGUUCUAGAACCGAUAACCCCCGCUUAACCUCACCGCCCCUUGUUUUUCCCGCCUAUAUACCACCGUCGCCAGCUUACCCUGUGAAGGCCACAUAGUAAGCAAAAUGGGCACAACCCAAAACGUCAGGUCGAGGUGUAGCGAAUGGGGCGGGAAGAAAUGGGCUACAUUCUCUAAUAGAGAAAACGAACUACGCUGUGAAACCAGCGUCUGAAGGUGGAUUUAGCAGUAGAUAGAAAAUAGAGUGUUCUAUCAAAAUAGGCUCUGAAGCACGCAC
RNAcentral lists this ribosomal RNA (386 nucleotides) under Umbra limi (central mudminnow). Its description in RNAcentral is "partial 12S ribosomal RNA". It matches the Rfam family "Bacterial small subunit ribosomal RNA", at positions 795 to 1386 of the family's 1533-position model. The record is from RNAcentral. Lineage: Eukaryota; Metazoa; Chordata; Actinopteri; Esociformes; Umbridae.